UUCUUUUUAAGUUUAAGGUGAUCUCAUAAUUCAAGUGAAGGGAAGUAGAUAUUUGCUUCACAAGGUCACACAUUGCAGCUUCAAGCAUUCUUCAAAUCUUGCAUACUCCAUGGCUAGAUGGACAAAAUUUCAACUAUUAUACUCUACAAAGCAUGAAGCUGACAACCUUUCAGAUCAGUACACGAAUGAGCUUCGUGGUUGUUGUACAUAGUGUUAAAUGAACAUGUGAAAAAUUUGUUUCAAACUGAAAACUUCAUUUGAUUAUGGGUAGUUGUUAUUAUUUUUGUCUAUACAAGCCUUUUCAUUUGUAA
RNAcentral lists this long non-coding RNA (311 nucleotides) under Rosa chinensis. RNAcentral describes it as "sRNA RchiOBHm_Chr3g0456761". Lineage: Eukaryota; Viridiplantae; Streptophyta; Magnoliopsida; Rosales; Rosaceae. The record is from RNAcentral.